This 223-nucleotide unclassified non-coding RNA is filed under the name Hevea brasiliensis (rubber tree). The record is from RNAcentral. Lineage: Eukaryota; Viridiplantae; Streptophyta; Magnoliopsida; Malpighiales; Euphorbiaceae.
AUAAUAAUAAUAAUAAUAAUGAGUUGAUAGUAAAUGAGAGGUAUCAGGGAUCCAUUCCAUAGGAAAUGGGAAAUUACACAGAGCUAGGGAUACAGAAGGUAUUGACUUUGGGCUGUUUUGUUCCUUCUAGGACAGAAAAUCAUACAUAACAAAAACCAAAAUAAGAAUAAUCUACAGUGCCAAAGCACUUAUAUUGUAGACAAGAAGAGCUCCUCCUGCAAGA